RNAcentral lists this ribosomal RNA (467 nucleotides) under uncultured bacterium. Its description in RNAcentral is "partial 16S ribosomal RNA". It matches the Rfam family "Bacterial small subunit ribosomal RNA", at positions 28 to 507 of the family's 1533-position model. The record is from RNAcentral.
GACGAACGCUGGCGGCGUGCUUAACACAUGCAAGUCGAACGGAAAGGCGCCAGCUUUCUGGAGUACUCGAUUGGCGAACGGGUGAGUAACACGUGUGUAAUCUGCCCUUCACUCUGGGAGAAGCCUGGGAAACUGGGUCGAAUACUGGAGAUGACCUUUCUCCUUAUGUGGUUUGGUGGAAAGUGUUUCGGUGUAGGAUGAGUCCGCGGCCUAUCGGCUUGUUGGUGGGGUGAUGGCCUACCAAGGCGACGACGGGUAGCCGGCCUGAGAGGGUGAUCGGCCACAUUGGGACUGAGGUACGGACCAGAAUGCUACGGGAGGCAGCAGUGGGGAAUAUUGCACAAUGGGCGGAAGCGUGAUGCAGCGACGCCGCGUGAGGGAUGCCGGCCUUCGGGUUGUAAACCACUUUCAGAAGGGACGAAGCGUACGUGACGGUACCUGAAGAAGAAGCAACGGCUAACUACGUG